GACGAACGCUGGCGGCGUGCCUAAUACAUGCAAGUAGAACGCUGAAGGAGGAGCUUGCUUCUCUGGAUGAGUUGCGAACGGGUGAGUAACGCGUAGGUAACCUGCCUGGUAGCGGGGGAUAACUAUUGGAAACGAUAGCUAAUACCGCAUAAUAGCAGUUAUUGCAUGAUAACUGUUUGAAAGGUGCAAUUGCAUCACUACCAGAUGGACCUGCGUUGUAUUAGCUAGUUGGUGAGGUAACGGCUCACCAAGGCGACGAUACAUAGCCGACCUGAGAGGGUGAUCGGCCACACUGGGACUGAGACACGGCCCAGACUCCUACGGGAGGCAGCAGUAGGGAAUCUUCGGCAAUGGACGGAAGUCUGACCGAGCAACGCCGCGUGAGUGAAGAAGGUUUUCGGAUCGUAAAGCUCUGUCGUAAGGGAAGAACGAGUGUGAGAGUGGAAAGUUCACACUGUGACGUAUCUACCAGAAAGGACG
Molecule: ribosomal RNA, 480 nt
Filed under: Streptococcus mitis
Lineage: Bacteria; Bacillati; Bacillota; Bacilli; Lactobacillales; Streptococcaceae
Description: bacterial SSU rRNA
Rfam family: Bacterial small subunit ribosomal RNA
Source: RNAcentral